GACAGUGCCGUAAUCAGAUGAUUCGGCUACUGAAUUGAGAACGAUGAAAGAAUGUUAUCGAAUAUCUAUUGGAGGGCAAGUCUGGUGCCAGCAGCCGCGGUAAUUCCAGCUCGAAGAGCGUCUGUUAAUGUUGCUGCGCUUGAAACGCUCGUCGUUGAAUCUCUGGCAAUUGCCUACGGACACUUCUAUUGUGGUACCGUAGGAAAGUGCCUUUUUGUAUCUAUUCGUCGUUGAUUCACUUAAUUGUGUGUCACGUUCGAGAGCCACUUUCACUUUGGAGAAAUCAGUGUGCUCAUAACAGGCUUAUGCCUGCAUAUAACUGCAUGGGAUGAUGAAACUGGGCCUUUGACUCGUUUCGUUGGUUUACGAUUGCAAAGGCCAUGAUUAAUCGGGACAGACGGGGGCAUUCGUAUUGCGUCGAUAGAAGUGAAAUUCGGUGACCGACGUAAGACGAACAAUCGCGAAAGCAUUUGCCAAGAAUGUUUUCAUUAAUCAAGAACGAAAGUUAGAGUAUCGAAGACGAUUAGAUACCGUCCUAGUUCUAACUGUAAACGAUGCCAACCAGGGUUUCGUCAUAGCUUAUAUGCUUGACGAGCACCCUCCGGGAAACCUGAGUAAUCGGGUUCCGGGGGGAGUAUGGUUGCAGAAUCGAAACUUAAAGGAAUUGACGGAAGGGCACACCAGGAGUGGAGCCUGCGGCUUAAUUUGACUCAACGCACGAUAGCCGACUCGGUCCGAACACUUGAAGGAUUGACAGACUGAAAGCUCUUUCUUGAUUUAGUGGGUAGCGGUGCAUGGCCGUUCUUAGUUGGUGGAGA
RNAcentral lists this ribosomal RNA (818 nucleotides) under Rhadinorhynchus pristis. Its description in RNAcentral is "SSU rRNA". It matches the Rfam family "Eukaryotic small subunit ribosomal RNA", at positions 477 to 1307 of the family's 1831-position model. Lineage: Eukaryota; Metazoa; Acanthocephala; Palaeacanthocephala; Echinorhynchida; Rhadinorhynchidae. The record is from RNAcentral.